AGGAUGACCAAAGAUGGCUCUCCAUGGCAUGCCACAGUCACUCAAUAGGGCUGUCUAUUCCUGAGGAGAAGACGUA
Ictidomys tridecemlineatus (thirteen-lined ground squirrel) is the source of this 76-nucleotide small nucleolar RNA. NCBI's taxonomy places the organism in Eukaryota, Metazoa, Chordata, Mammalia, Rodentia, Sciuridae. The record is from Ensembl.